UGCAGUGGGUACGGGCAGACUAGAGUGAUGUAGGGGAGACUGGAAUUCCUGGUGUAGCGGUGAAAUGCGCAGAUAUCAGGAGGAACACCGAUGGCGAAGGCAGGUCUCUGGGCAUUAACUGACGCUGAGGAGCGAAAGCAUGGGGAGCGAACAGGAUUAGAUACCCUGGUAGUCCAUGCCGUAAACGUUGGGCACUAGGUGUGGGGGACAUUCCACGUUUUCCGCCCCGUAGCUAACGCAUUAAGUGCCCCGCCUGGGGAGUACGGCCGCAAGGCUAAAACUCAAAGGAAUUGACGGGGGCCCGCACAAGCGGCGGAGCAUGCGGAUUAAUUCGAUGCAACGCGAAGAACCUUACCAAGGCUUGACAUGAACCGGUAAUACCUGGAAACAGGUGCCCCGCUUGCGGUCGGUUUACAGGUGGUGCAUGGUUGUCGUCAGCUCGUGUCGUGAGAUGUUGGGUUAAGUCCCGCAACGAGCGCAACCCUCGUUCUAUGUUGCCAGCGCGUUAUGGCGGGGACUCAUAGGAGACUGCCGGGGUCAACUCGGAGGAAGGUGGGGACGACGUCAAAUCAUCAUGCCCCUUAUGUCUUGGGCUUCACGCAUGCUACAAUGGCCGGUACAAAGGGUUGCGAUACUGUGAGGUGGAGCUAAUCCCAAAAAGCCGGUCUCAGUUCGGAUUGGGGUCUGCAACUCGACCCCAUGAAGUCGGAGUCGCUAGUAAUCGCAGAUCAGCAACGCUGCGGUGAAUACGUUCCCGGGCCUUGUACACA
This 770-nucleotide ribosomal RNA is filed under the name Arthrobacter sp. S20. RNAcentral describes it as "bacterial SSU rRNA". It matches the Rfam family "Bacterial small subunit ribosomal RNA", at positions 622 to 1389 of the family's 1533-position model. The record is from RNAcentral. Lineage: Bacteria; Bacillati; Actinomycetota; Actinomycetes; Micrococcales; Micrococcaceae.